RNAcentral lists this ribosomal RNA (254 nucleotides) under uncultured bacterium. RNAcentral describes it as "partial 16S ribosomal RNA". It matches the Rfam family "Bacterial small subunit ribosomal RNA", at positions 524 to 776 of the family's 1533-position model. The record is from RNAcentral.
UACGGGGGGGGCAAGCGUUGUUCGGAAUUAUUGGGCGUAAAGGGCUCGUAGGCGGUCCGUCACGUCGGGAGUGAAAACUCGGGGCUCAACCCCGAGCCUGCUUCCGAUACGGGCGGACUAGAGGUAGGUAGGGGGAGAACGGAAUUCCUGGUGUAGCGGUGGAAUGCGCAGAUAUCAGGAGGAACACCGGUGGCGAAGGCGGUUCUCUGGGCCUUACCUGACGCUGAGGAGCGAAAGCGUGGGGAGCGAACAGG